Molecule: ribosomal RNA, 440 nt
Filed under: uncultured bacterium
Lineage: Bacteria
Description: partial 16S ribosomal RNA
Rfam family: Bacterial small subunit ribosomal RNA
Source: RNAcentral
CCUACGGGAGGCAGCAGUGGGGAAUAUUGCACAAUGGGGGAAACCCUGAUCCAGCAACGCCGCGUGAGUGAAGACGUCAUUCGUGAUGUAAAGCUCUAUCAGCAGGGAAGAAAAUGACGGUACCUGACUCAGAAGCCCCGGAUAACUCCGUGCCAGCAGCCGCGGUAAUACGUAGGGGGCAAGCGUUAUCCGGAUUUACUGGGUGUAAAGGGCGCGUAGACGGCGACGCAAGUCUGAAGUGAAAUGCCAGUGCUAAAAACUGGAACUGCGUUGGAAACCGUGUGGCUAGAGUGCAGGAGAGGUAAGUGGAAUUCCUAGUGUAGCGGUGAAAUGCGGAGAUAUUAGGAGGAACACCAGUUGCGAAGGCGGCUUACUGGACUGUAACUGACGUUGAGGCUCGAAGGCGUGGGGAGCAAACAGGAUUAGAUACCCUGGUAGUC